Long non-coding RNA from Cornus florida, 1312 nucleotides. RefSeq lists it as uncharacterized. The transcript is spliced from 6 exons. The record is from RefSeq and is a predicted model, not a curated record. NCBI's taxonomy places the organism in Eukaryota, Viridiplantae, Streptophyta, Magnoliopsida, Cornales, Cornaceae.
UCUGAAGGAUUUUCUUUUGGUUUCUUUUGUUGCUUGGUUUUAACUAUUAUUGGAUGGUUAGUUUUUUUUUUUUUUCGGAAAAUAAAGCAACUGACAUUAUUGGAUUAAAAGAUUACAAGGUUUGGGCCGCAGCCCAUUGCCAAUUAAUUACAAAACAGGCCCUCUUGGGCAGCAAGGGCACAGGCCCAAUCAGAAAUAACCUUAACUUCAUUAAUGGUUAGUUUGUUCUCUUUGAAUGGAAGUGUCCGUCAGUUUAAUUGAGUCUCUAAAGUUUUUGAGGUUUCUCAAAUCAUUUUAUAUAGGUCAAGCAUGCAUGGGAGAGGAAGAUCCUACAACUUGAGCUGGAGCAAUUUGAAAUAGUUGGAGAACCACUGAAGGCAUUGCUGAUAAUUGGAAAAGGAGCUGUCUUCGUCUACAAGCACGGGCAUAAUUAAAUCCAGAUUGGCAGUCAGGUUUUUAGGCCCUCACACAGCUGUUACCAAUGCAAAGGCUACUAUAUCAUGUUUGGAAGCUUUAAAUUUUGGUGUGCUUAAUCUUUAAAGAUUUGUUGUGUUUACUCGAACGAGGUCACAGAACAUCCAUCCCCAUUCAUUACGCUCCACAAGGAAGCAUGUUUUGGGAAACACAGCCUAAGGAGUGCCAAGGUUGUUGAUUGUCGCAACAUUCAGCUUCAGGACCUAUGAUGACAAAUUUAGGUUGUCCAAGUGCUAUAGUGUCAGGUGGUUUUGGGUACCGAUUGAAUGGUUCGGUGAAGUGUUCGGCAUGCACAUGUGCGCUGAGGUGGGCGCUGGGCUGCAUUGCAUAUACUCACACAUAAACGCUCUAAUUUUUCUACCUCCAUUCUACUCUCUCACUGACCCACGACUUCACGACUUAGCGGUGCCCUUGGUGUGGCGCAGGGAGGAUCACGGCGGCGGUGGUCGAUUGGUGGCAUAUUGGAGAUCUGGACGAUGGUGGUUGUUGAUUGGGGCUACUAUAACUUGUAAGAACUUUAAACUCUAAUUUCCCCUUCUCAAGAGCUCCACUUAUAUAUCUCUCUCUUGUAUUAUCAAUGAAUGAAUCAGCUUCUAUUUUUGUUAAUUUCUUAAGUAAAAAUGAACAAUUGCAUAUAUUUAUAUAUAUAUAUAAUGGGUCUUUUUUGUAUGUUGUUUGGUAUGGUUGUUACUGAUUUUGGGGCUUUUGAUUUGUGGAGGAACUAGGGUUUUCAUGUUGGUUGUGGUGAUCUGUUUAUUUUGUUUUCUAAACAGUUGGGAGGCUUUCUUGGGUUUAACAUGUUAAAAGCCACAAAAAUAUAAAAAACAAAACAAGGCUU